Long non-coding RNA from Lagopus muta (rock ptarmigan), 1034 nucleotides. RefSeq lists it as uncharacterized. The transcript has 4 exons. NCBI's taxonomy places the organism in Eukaryota, Metazoa, Chordata, Aves, Galliformes, Phasianidae. The record is from RefSeq and is a predicted model, not a curated record.
CUCAAGCCCAGAUCUAACAGUUCCCCUACAAUGGUUCAGAAGAAUAAGAACUAUAACUGGUCUAAAGAUUGUACCAGAACUGUGUAAUUGUUACUCCAGGCAACAUCAGGUUACUAGGAUGAAAAUACAAAAUUUGAAGAAAAAAGCUCUCCUUUUUUAUGUUACAGCGGAGGAAACCAACUAAUGGAAAUGCAAAGGAAUUCAGGCAUGUGAUCUCCAUGGACAACCUGUCAGCUACUGACCUUGACGUUUUUUCUCAUCUGCAACAACGCUACAGAGUUGAAGACAAAAAUUAUAUUCCUCGCCCCCCCCAAAAAAACAUUUAUCUCAGCUCCUCCUUCAGUGUCACAUACUCCAUUUCCCCAACUAUUUGGUAACCUUUCACUGGACUUUCCAGUUUGACAGCACCUUUCUUUUACUAGGCAAGCCAAAACAAAAUGUAGCACAUCAAAUCUGACUCACAGAUACUCACUAGGAUGGAAUAAGCAGCCUUAUGGCUGCAUUCUUCUCAUGAUAUCCUCAAAAUAUCGUCCCAAAAAACAAGACAACAUACAUAUAAUUUUUUUUCCCCACAAUUUCUCUUCCCAUGGGAAAUCAAAUGAUAAGAUCCCACAUAAUCAAUUCGAUGGGGAGGAAAAGUUGGCAACAGAAAUAGUAAAUCCUCUCCACUGAAAGUAAAUGGCUCCUGUAUUCACAGUAAAAAAAGCAUGCGAGGAUUUCUACCUGCUUCUCCACUGCAGAAUCUGAAUGCCAAUGAAUUUAUAGUGAAGAGUUUAUGAAACAUAAAUCAUCCUUGUCCCACGUAUUCAUGAAGUUGUUGGACUUUGCAUCACAAAUGGAUGUCAUGCCUCAACAGCAAGAAAUAUGUGACAUGCCAGAAGUGGCUGCUGGUCUUCUAUAAGAUGUCAGAGCAACAAGCUUUUUCUUCAAGGACAACAACAUAUCUGCCAUGGGAGUCUACUUGACACCGGAUACAAGAACUGCAGUUUCACUUGCCAGAUCACCUCUGAAUUCCCCUAGAGAGAAGUAAGAGU